RNAcentral lists this ribosomal RNA (515 nucleotides) under uncultured bacterium. Its description in RNAcentral is "partial 16S ribosomal RNA". It matches the Rfam family "Bacterial small subunit ribosomal RNA", at positions 28 to 523 of the family's 1533-position model. The record is from RNAcentral.
GACGAACGCUGGCGGCGUGCCUAACACAUGCAAGUCGAACGGAGAUUUCAGUAAUGAAAUCUUAGUGGCGAACGGGUGAGUAACGCGUAGACAACCUACCUUCGAGAUGGGGACAACACCGCGAAAGUGGUGCUAAUACCGAAUGUUGUAUUUGUAGUGCAUACUAUGAAUACUAAAGAUGGCCUCUAUUUAUAAGCUAUCGCUAGAAGAUGGGUCUGCGUCUGAUUAGCUAGUUGGUGAGGUAAUGGCUCACCAAGGCGACGAUCAGUAGACGGUCUUAGAGGAUGAACGGCCACACGGGGACUGAGACACGGCCCAGACUCCUACGGGAGGCAGCAGUGGGGAAUUUUGGACAAUGGGCGAAAGCCUGAUUCGGCAAUGCCGCGUGCAGGAUGAAGGCCUUCGGGUUGUAAACUGCUUUUGUACGGAACGAAAAAGCUCCUUCUAAUACAGGGGGCCCAUGACGGUACCGUAAGAAUAAGCACCGGCUAACUACGUGCCAGCAGCCGCGGUAA